Hordeum vulgare subsp. vulgare (domesticated barley) is the source of this 124-nucleotide non-coding RNA. The record is from Rfam. NCBI's taxonomy places the organism in Eukaryota, Viridiplantae, Streptophyta, Magnoliopsida, Poales, Poaceae.
AUCAUACUCCCUCCGUUCGGAAAUACUUGUCUUAGAAAUGAAUAAAAUAGCUGUAUCUAUAACUAAAAUAAGUCUAGAUACAUCCAUUUCUAUGACAAGUAUUUCCGGACGGAGGCAGUAUCUC